AAGCGUGCGCAGGCGGUUUUGUAAGUCAGAUGUGAAAUCCCCGCAGCUCAACUUGGGAACUGCGUUUGAAACUACAAGACUAGAAUAUGUCAGAGGGGGGUAGAAUUCCACGUGUAGCAGUGAAAUGCGUAGAGAUGUGGAGGAAUACCAAUGGCGAAGGCAGCCCCCUGGGAUAAUAUUGACGCUCAUGCACGAAAGCGUGGGGAGCAAACAGGAUUAGAUACCCUGGUAGUCCACGCCCUAAACGAUGUCUACUAGUUGUUGGUGGAGUAAAAUCCAUGAGUAACGCAGCUAACGCGUGAAGUAGACCGCCUGGGGAGUACGGUCGCAAGAUUAAAACUCAAAUGAAUUGACGGGGGCCCGCACAAGCGGUGGAUUAUGUGGAUUAAUUCGAUGCAACGCGAAAAACCUUACCUGGCCUUGACAUGUAACGAACUUUCCAGAGAUGGAUUGGUGCUCGAAAGAGAGCGUUAACACAGGUGCUGCAUGGCUGUCGUCAGCUCGUGUCGUGAGAUGUUGGGUUAAGUCCCGCAACGAGCGCAACCCUUGCCAUUAAUUGCCAUCAUUUAGUUGGGCACUUUAAUGGGACUGCCGGUGACAAACCGGAGGAAGGUGGGGAUGACGUCAAGUCCUCAUGGCCCUUAUGGCCAGGGCUUCACACGUAAUACAAUGGUCGGUACAGAGGGUUGCCAAGCCGCGAGGUGGAGCCAAUCCCAGAAAGCCGAUCGUAGUCCGGAUUGUAGUCUGCAACUCGACUACAUGAAGUCGGAAUCGCUAGUAAUCGCGGAUCAGCAUGUCGCGGUGAAUACGUUCCCGGGCCUUGUACACACCGCCCGUCACACCAUGGGAGUGGGUUUUACCAGAAGUAGAUAGUCUAACCUUCGGGAGGACGCUUACCACGGUAGUAUUCAUGACUGGGGUGAAGUCGUAACAAGGUAA
This 939-nucleotide ribosomal RNA is filed under the name uncultured bacterium. Its description in RNAcentral is "bacterial SSU rRNA". It matches the Rfam family "Bacterial small subunit ribosomal RNA", at positions 563 to 1499 of the family's 1533-position model. The record is from RNAcentral.